RNAcentral lists this ribosomal RNA (746 nucleotides) under Salmonella enterica. Its description in RNAcentral is "partial 23S ribosomal RNA". It matches the Rfam family "Bacterial large subunit ribosomal RNA", at positions 1 to 688 of the family's 2925-position model. Lineage: Bacteria; Pseudomonadati; Pseudomonadota; Gammaproteobacteria; Enterobacterales; Enterobacteriaceae. The record is from RNAcentral.
GGUUAAGCGACUAAGCGUACACGGUGGAUGCCCUGGCAGUCAGAGGCGAUGAAGGGCGUGCUAAUCUGCGAUAAGCGCCGGUAAGGUGAUAUGAACCGUUAUAACCGGCGAUACCCGAAUGGGGAAACCCAGUGUGACUCGUCACACUAUCAUUAACUGAAUCCAUAGGUUAAUGAGGCGAACCGGGGGAACUGAAACAUCUAAGUACCCCGAGGAAAAGAAAUCAACCGAGAUUCCCCCAGUAGCGGCGAGCGAACGGGGAGGAGCCCAGAGCCUGAAUCAGCAUGUGUGUUAGUGGAAGCGUCUGGAAAGGCGCGCGAUACAGGGUGACAGCCCCGUACACAAAAGCGCAUGUGCUGUGAGCUCGAUGAGUAGGGCGGGACACGUGGUAUCCUGUCUGAAUAUGGGGGGACCAUCCUCCAAGGCUAAAUACUCCUGACUGACCGAUAGUGAACCAGUACCGUGAGGGAAAGGCGAAAAGAACCCCGGCGAGGGGAGUGAAAAAGAACCUGAAACCGUGUACGUACAAGCAGUGGGAGCCCCACCACUAAGCCAGUGGUGAACUCCACAUACGCAUCCUUUGCUGAGGAUACGGUUAACGGAGCGCAAGCGACGUUCAACCUCAAAAGAAGCAGAGGGGGCUUAGUGGUGGGGUGACUGCGUACCUUUUGUAUAAUGGGUCAGCGACUUAUAUUCUGUAGCAAGGUUAACCGAAUAGGGGAGCCGGAGGGAAACCGAGUCUUAAU